RNAcentral lists this ribosomal RNA (393 nucleotides) under Cyclops columbianus. RNAcentral describes it as "partial 12S ribosomal RNA". Lineage: Eukaryota; Metazoa; Arthropoda; Copepoda; Cyclopoida; Cyclopidae. The record is from RNAcentral.
CUGCGGUUAUACUUUUAAAUAAAAUUUUAUAUAUUAUUAAAUUUAAAUUAACUUUUAUUCUGUUUAAAGAUUUUUAUAAAAGUUUGUUAAAAAUUUUAAAAAAUAAAUUUACAAAACUGGAAUAGAACCCAGGUAUGAAAAUAUUCAGGGUAUUAUUUAUAAAACCUAAAUUGCAUGGCAGUGAUUUAUUCUGAUUAGAGAAUUUUGGUCCUUAAAUUGACAAUCCUCAAUCUUAUUUACUUAUUUUUAGUUUAUGUGUGGUUGUAAAAAAAAAAUAAAUUUUCAUUUAAAUUUUAACCAAAUGACAUAUAGCUUUUAUACGGGAAACUGAAAUGCAAUAAACUAGAUAUUAAGAGAUGCUAGGAUUUAAUAGUAGGUCUGAGCCUGAUCGAA